RNAcentral lists this transfer RNA (69 nucleotides) under Dipodomys ordii (Ord's kangaroo rat). It matches the Rfam family "tRNA". Rfam says of the family: Transfer RNA (tRNA) molecules are approximately 80 nucleotides in length. Their secondary structure includes four short double-helical elements and three loops (D, anti-codon, and T loops). Lineage: Eukaryota; Metazoa; Chordata; Mammalia; Rodentia; Heteromyidae. The record is from Rfam by way of RNAcentral.
GGAAGGUAGCUCAGUGGUAGAGUGCUUGCCUUGCAUGCAUGAGACCCUGGGUUCGAUUCCUCAGCUCCA